AGCCGAUGAUUUUGACUUAUUUCUGACACCUCGUAUGAGUGCUGCUAAUGCAGUACUUGAUUACACUUUUAUUCUGAGGCUU
Acipenser ruthenus (sterlet) is the source of this 82-nucleotide small nucleolar RNA. RefSeq annotates it as small nucleolar RNA SNORD60. The transcript has a single exon. NCBI's taxonomy places the organism in Eukaryota, Metazoa, Chordata, Actinopteri, Acipenseriformes, Acipenseridae. The record is from RefSeq and is a predicted model, not a curated record.